This 1080-nucleotide long non-coding RNA is filed under the name Danio rerio (zebrafish). Its description in RNAcentral is "si:dkey-151m15.7 (ENSDARG00000097948.3)". Lineage: Eukaryota; Metazoa; Chordata; Actinopteri; Cypriniformes; Danionidae. The record is from RNAcentral.
CAUCAAUCAGGAAGUGGGCCCAGCAGCACAUGAGGCGAUGGGGACAUAGAGACAGUGGACAAUCCUUGGUUAAAGUCAGCCAGACUGCAGCCCUGAUGCACAAGUGCUGCACUGUGGAAUCAGUAUUCCGAGCUGGUUCCUAUGGACACAGCAUUCUUAAAGCCAGCAACAUCAUCACCAGACUCCUGAACAGAAGACAAACAGGCCCUGCGCGUGCUUUCUCGCUGCCCCACUAGAGGGCGAGUGGUGCACAACCGCAGGACCGCCUGUCUACAUGUGGAGAUAGACACACACACAAACACAGGGAACGAAGGACUGGUCAUCGCGCUGAGCAGUGGGUGAUAAAACUACUAAUUAGCCACAGGCUGUUCAUCUUUUCCAUUUAUGCUCACCUGCAGACACGAAGAGGAUUCCUGCACUGAGGAUGAUAUUGUGGCGGGACUUGUAGAACUCGCUGGCAGCUAUACAGAGACCACCCAUGAAGAGCAGGAUGACGCUGAGGAUGGGGAAGAUACUAGACGCUCGCACGGCUCCUACACAUGCAGACACAGAGAGAGAGAGAGAGAGAGAGAGAGAGAGAGAGAGAGAGAGAGAGAGAACACAAGGUGAGCAUAAGAUGUUUUCAGUUCCAGAAUAUUACUUGUUGAAUGAAUCUGUGCAAAGUACAGUGAGAGAGGGACCAUGCCGGAUGAAGAAAGCUGUGAUUUCAGCCAAUCGACACUUUGUCAGUAGAGUAAACAACACUUGCACCCUUUAAAAUGGUGCGGAAGAGCAAUUAGAGGUCAGAAGUCUCACCUAACACUCGUACUCCAUGACUGAGAAGGGCGAGAGACACCAGACCUUUUACAGAUGCCUCUAUUUGCACACAAUAUGUUUGUAGUGAGACUUCAACCAAAAAAAGCUGGCUUCUUUCGAGCCAUGAAAUGACAAGUGAAUGUGCUAAUGAAUGUUUUUAGGACAGCCUGCCAACUCACCAAGUUAUUCAACUCAAUGUUUGAGUAGCUUUUAAAGAUAAAGUUCUACUUUUAAAUAAGUGCCUCAGCCUACACUUUUUGUACAAACAUAAAAUACAUUGCUCCA